RNAcentral lists this ribosomal RNA (253 nucleotides) under uncultured bacterium. Its description in RNAcentral is "partial 16S ribosomal RNA". It matches the Rfam family "Bacterial small subunit ribosomal RNA", at positions 524 to 776 of the family's 1533-position model. The record is from RNAcentral.
UACGGGGGGAGCAAGCGUUGUUCGGAUUUACUGGGCGUAAAGGGCGCGUAGGCGGCGCAACAAGUCACUUGUGAAAUCUCCGGGCUUAACCCGGAGCGGCCAAGUGAUACUGUCGUGCUAGAGUGCGGAAGGGGCUACUGGAAUUCCUGGUGUAGCGGUGGAAUGCGCAGAUAUCAGGAGGAACACCGGUGGCGAAGGCGGGUCUCUGGGCAGUAACUGACGCUGAGGAGCGAAAGCGUGGGGAGCGAACAGG